UGGCGAACGGGUGAGUAACACGUGAGUAACCUGCCCUUGACUCUGGGAUAAGCGCUGGAAACGGCGUCUAAUACCGGAUACGACCUGCCCCGGCAUCGGGUGCGGGUGGAAAGUUUUUCGGUCAAGGAUGGACUCGCGGCCUAUCAGGUAGUUGGUGAGGUAAUGGCUCACCAAGCCGACGACGGGUAGCCGGCCUGAGAGGGUGACCGGCCACACUGGGACUGAGACACGGCCCAGACUCCUACGGGAGGCAGCAGUGGGGAAUAUUGCACAAUGGGCGAAAGCCUGAUGCAGCAACGCCGCGUGGGGGAUGACGGCCUUCGGGUUGUAAACCUCUUUUAGUAGGGAAGAAGGGCUUCGGCUUGACGGUACCUGCAGAAAAAGCACCGGCUAACUACGUGCCAGCAGCCGCGGUAAUACGUAGGGUGCAAGCGUUGUCCGGAAUUAUUGGGCGUAAAGAGCUCGUAGGCGGUUUGUCGCGUCUGCUGUGAAAACCCGAGGCUCAACCUCGGGCCUGCAGUGGGUACGGGCAGACUAGAGUGCGGUAGGGGAGAAUGGAAUUCCUGGUGUAGCGGUGGAAUGCGCAGAUAUCAGGAGGAACACCGAUGGGCGAAGGCAGUUCUCUGGGCCGUUACUGACGCUGAGGAGCGAAAGCGUGGGGAGCGAACAGGAUUAGAUACCCUGGUAGUCCACGCCGUAAACGUUGGGAACUAGAUGUGGGGACCUUUCCACGGUCUCCGUGUCGCAGCUAACGCAUUAAGUUCCCCGCCUGGGGGAGUACGGCCGCAAGGCUAAAACUCAAAGGAAUUGACGGGGGGCCCGCACAAGCGGCGGGAGCAUGCCGGAUUAAUUUCGAUGCAACGCGAAGAACCUUACCAAGGCUUGACAUAUACCGGAAACUUCCAGAAAUGGUUGCCCCGCAAGGUCGGUAUACAGGUGGUGCAUGGUUGUCGUCAGCUCGUGUCGUGAGAUGUUGGGUUAAGUCCCGCAACGAGCGCAACCCUCGUUCUAUGUUGCCAGCACGUCAUGGUGGGAACUCAUAGGAGACUGCCGGGGUCAACUCGGAGGAAGGUGGGGAUGACGUCAAAUCAUCAUGCCCCUUAUGUCUUGGGCUUCACGCAUGCUACAAUGGCCGGUACAAAGGGCUGCGAUACCGUAAGGUGGAGCGAAUCCCAAAAAGCCGGUCUCAGUUCGGAUUGAGGUCUGCAACUCGACCUCAUGAAGUCGGAGUCGCUAGUAAUCGCAGAUCAGCAACGCUGCGGUGAAUACGUUCCCGGGCCUUGUACACACCGCCCGUCAAGUCAUGAAAGUCGGUAACACCCGAAGCCAGUGGCCUAACC
Molecule: ribosomal RNA, 1340 nt
Filed under: Rathayibacter sp. HW04-01
Lineage: Bacteria; Bacillati; Actinomycetota; Actinomycetes; Micrococcales; Microbacteriaceae
Description: 16S ribosomal RNA
Rfam family: Bacterial small subunit ribosomal RNA
Source: RNAcentral